RNAcentral lists this ribosomal RNA (407 nucleotides) under uncultured bacterium. Its description in RNAcentral is "partial 16S ribosomal RNA". It matches the Rfam family "Bacterial small subunit ribosomal RNA", at positions 28 to 526 of the family's 1533-position model. The record is from RNAcentral.
GACGAACGCUGGCGGCGUGCCUAAUACAUGCAAGUAGAACGCAGUUGCGAACGGGUGAGUAACGCGUAGGUAACUGCCUCAUAGCGGGGGAUAACUAUUGGAAACGAUAGCUAAUACCGCAUACUGUGAGAUGGACCUGCGUUGUAUUAGCUAGUUGGUGAGGUAAAGGCUCACCAAGGCGACGGUACCUAGCCGGCCUGAGAGGGUGAUCCGCCACACUGGGACUGGGACCAGGGCCAGGAUCCCACGGGAGGGAGCAGUAGGGAAAUUUCGGACAUGGACGGAAGUCUGACCGAGCAACGCCGCGUGAGUGAAGAAGGUUUUCGGAUCGUAAAGCUCUGUUGUUAGGGAAGCGGUAACUAAACAGAAAGGGACGGCUAACUACGUGCCAGCAGCCGCGGUAAUUC